This 1369-nucleotide ribosomal RNA is filed under the name human metagenome. RNAcentral describes it as "bacterial LSU rRNA". It matches the Rfam family "Bacterial large subunit ribosomal RNA", at positions 915 to 2311 of the family's 2925-position model. The record is from RNAcentral.
UGGAUGCGGGGGCUUCACCGCCUACCAAAUCCUGACAAACUCCGAAUGCCAGUAGUAUGAUUUACAGCAGUGAGCGACCGGGUGCUAAUGUCCGGUUACGAGAGUGGAACAACACAGACCAGCAACUAAGGUCCCCAAGAGUAUACUAAGUUGAUCUAACGAUGUUUUGCUGCAGAGACAGCUAGGAUGUUAGCUUGGAAGCAGCUAUUCAUUCAAAGAGUGCGUAACAGCUCACUAGUCGAGCGGCAAAGCGUGGAUAAUAAACGGGCAUCAAGUAUACCACCGAAGUUCUGGGCACGAAAGUGCGGUAGGGGAGCAUUCCAUUCCGCGUUGAAGCCGAACCGUGAGGUUUGGUGGAGUGUAUGGAAAAGCAAAUGUAGGCAUGAGUAACGAUAAUGCGGGAGAGUAACCCGCACACCGCAAGACCAAGGUUUCCUGAUCAACGCUAAUCGGAUCAGGGUUAGUCGGGUCCUAAGGGUAAGCCGAACGGUGAUCUCGAUGGAUAAUCGGUUAAUAUUCCGAUACUGACAUAUACCUCGAUGGAGAGACGAAGGAACGUAAGUGCCGCCACCUGACGGAAUAGGUGGUUAAAGGGCUUAGGUAUAGGGGCAGAUUAAGAGUUAGUCCUUGCUGAAACCUGACAGUACAGAGAGCCUACGGGCAAUUUGAUAGUGCACCCAAGUCGACUUCCGAGAAAAUCUUCUAAGUUAUAGUAUAUGUCACCCGUACCGUAAACCGACACAGGUGGUCGAGGAGAGUAUCCUAAGGUGCUCGAGUGAAUCACGGUUAAGGAACUAGGCAAAUUAACCCCGUAACUUCGGGAAAAGGGGUCCCAUCGCGAGGUGGGCGCAGCGAAGAGGUUCAGGCGACUGUUUAUCAAAAACACAGGGCUCUGCAAAUUCGAAAGAAGACGUAUAGGGCCUGACACCUGCCCGGUGCUGGAAGGUUAAGAGGGGAUGUCAUCGCAAGAGAAGCAUUGAAUCGAAGCCCCAGUAAACGGCGGCCGUAACUAUAACGGUCCUAAGGUAGCGAAAUUCCUUGUCGGGUAAGUUCCGACCUGCACGAAUGGUGUAACGAUCUGGACACUGUCUCAACCGUGAGCUCGGUGAAAUUGUAGUCCCGGUGAAGAUGCCGGGUACCCGCAACGGGACGAAAAGACCCCGUGAACCUUUACUGCAGCUUAGCGCUGAAUUUGGGUACACAAUGUGUAGGAUAGGCAGGAGACACUGAAGCGGGUACGCCAGUAUUCGUGGAGUCGACGUUGAAAUACUGCCCUUUGUGUAUCUGAGUUCUAACCCCGCGAGGGAGACACCGCUUGGUGGGUAGUUUGACUGGGGUGGUCGCCUCCAAAAGCGUAACGGAGGCUUCC